Molecule: long non-coding RNA, 110 nt
Organism: Gavialis gangeticus (Gharial)
Lineage: Eukaryota; Metazoa; Chordata; Crocodylia; Gavialidae
Exons: 3
Source: RefSeq, a predicted model, not a curated record
CCAGCCCCUGCUUUAUAGCCUCCAUGAGUUGACCUGAGAGUUCCAGGUCCAACUCAUCCCCCUGGUGAAGUGGCCUGUAGUAGAUGCCCACUAUCAAGUCCCUUUCUCCA